Molecule: ribosomal RNA, 497 nt
Filed under: uncultured bacterium
Lineage: Bacteria
Description: partial 16S ribosomal RNA
Rfam family: Bacterial small subunit ribosomal RNA
Source: RNAcentral
GAUGAACGCUGGCGGCGUGCCUAAUACAUGCAAGUCGAGCGAACGGACGAGAAGCUUGCUUCUCUGAUGUUAGCGGCGGACGGGUGAGUAACACGUGGAUAACCUACCUAUAAGACUGGGAUAACUUCGGGAAACCGGAGCUAAUACCGGAUAAUAUUUUGAACCGCAUGGUUCAAAAGUGAAAGACGGUCUUGCUGUCACUUAUAGAUGGAUCCGCGCUGCAUUAGCUAGUUGGUAAGGUAACGGCUUACCAAGGCAACGAUGCAUAGCCGACCUGAGAGGGUGAUCGGGCACACUGGAACUGAGACACGGUCCAGACUCCUACGGGAGGCAGCAGGAGGGAAACUUCCGCAAUGGGCGAAAGCCUGACGGAGCAACGCCGCGUGAGUGAUGAAGGUCUUCGGAUCGUAAAACUCUGUUAUUAGGGAAGAACAAAUGUGUAAGUAACUGUGCACAGCUUGAAGGUAACUAAUCAGAAAGCCACGGCUAACUACGUG